UCGAUCUUCAAGAGGUAAGAGUCGAUCUCUAGCUUACAUUAUGUUUUAAGUAAGUUUUAUGAAGUUCAUGGGGGUAGAAUGCAUGUUUAGGUCAUAGUUAUGUUUAUGGGUUUUUGGUGUGAUUUUUGAACAAUGUGGCUUGUAAUGUGUGUUUGAUGUGUUGUAGUUGGGGCUUAAGGUAGUUUGAGACCCCUAGGAGCUUGAAUGCAUGUUUUGGUUGAGCUAAAUGCAUGUUGGUUUGAGUUUGGAGGCAAUUGUGCAUGUUUGAACCGAGUUUCUGCCCUUUGGGAGAAACCAGGUUCGGCAGCCGAAGGGACUUUCGGCCGCUGAACCCUCUUGUGGAGGCAGCCUUCGGCUGCCGAAGCUUGCCCCCGAAAGGAGACUUUCGUCUCUGUCUGGGAG
Molecule: long non-coding RNA, 402 nt
Filed under: Manihot esculenta (cassava)
Lineage: Eukaryota; Viridiplantae; Streptophyta; Magnoliopsida; Malpighiales; Euphorbiaceae
Description: long non-coding RNA (MESC_LNC012860)
Source: RNAcentral